RNAcentral lists this long non-coding RNA (2682 nucleotides) under Homo sapiens (human). RNAcentral's name for it is "non-protein coding LINC01128:107". Lineage: Eukaryota; Metazoa; Chordata; Mammalia; Primates; Hominidae. The record is from RNAcentral.
CUCGGAUUGGACCUUCUUCAGCACAGCCAGUGGCCGAGGCUUCCUCCCUGGGGCUCAGUGGAGCAGGACAGAUGCUGCAUCCAAACUCUUCCAUUGGGUUCCAGUCUGUUCCAGUCAUGCCCUUGAGCCUCUAAAGCUCCUAGGUGAGAGACGUAGCAGCUGACAGCACUUCCCACUUGAUUUGGGUGGACUCCAGCCUCCCCAGCAACAAUAAGAGAUCAAAAGCAUCGUUGAGGAAGCAGCUUGCUGAAACGCUGAGUGCCCGCCACUCUCAGGUCAGGUGGGACCGGCAGGCCAGCAUGAGUUCCUGAACACUUGGUUCUCAAUACUGGCCACAGCCACACUGUAAGGGGAAACAAGAGGGCACUGUAUGCAAACAUCUCUUGAACUCUGGAGUCUGCUCACCUUCCUGCCUCAAGCCCCUCUCCCACGUGGUCCAGUCACCAUUCUCCACAGAGACUACCCUAAAACCCAGCGACUCUCGUGUGCCUGCAGAAUGGCACAGCCCGUUCUCAUAGCAGCACUCCUGUUUAAUCAGAGGGAUGUUAACGACCAAGUCAUAUUUGCUCGAUUUGUGUUCAACAUAUUUCAUUUGUACCGAUAAAACUUAAAAAUAUCCCCACACAUGCAUUGCCUAUUAAAGAGUAUCUUCCAGGUACACCUCCCUUACACAUCAGUUAACUUGAUAAUUUCUUCCCAUUCUUGUGCAAUAAAUUUCCUUCCUGAUCAGCUCUGUCCAGCAGCAACAAUAAUCCACGUAGAGACAUGCAAACUAAAAGUCCGUUAGUGGAGGCACGAAGCUGAUGAGGCUUGGAAAAAAAUGACCGAUUUGAUUAAAAUUAGGACCCAUGGGAGUGGAGCUCUGCCUAUUUUAGAGGCAAAGUAAAUGCCUGGGAGUCCAAUCACCGACAUUCUGUUUGAGGUUUCUAAUCACAAGGAAGAUGGAGAAAAUGCAGAACAAGUGGUCAAGAACAGGGAGAUAAUAAAUAGAAUAUUUAUGGGCUGAGGAAAACAAUUACCAGGGGAAAGCCCAAGAAGCAAAGAUGAACAGAGAACGUGCUGACUGCGCUCGUUUGGAAAGGCCUCAUGGCCAAAGGAGGAGAGGCAUUAUGAGGAGCAGUGACCGAGUGGGCAGGACCCCCGGGGAUCAGGAAAGGUGCACGGGGGGAAAUGAGAGGCCUGAGCGGCUUCCCAGCGAAGGUUUUUGAAGCACGGUUUGAUUUUCUCUCUCCCCCUCACCAUCCCCAAAUUUUAGUUGUGACUAUCUCCAGGUACAUGGCUUGCGACAGGCGGUGUAUAAAAACUAAUGUCAGUUUAAUUUUAAAACCUUAGCCAUUUUCUGGAACUUAAAUAUCAAAGAGAAAAUGUCCACAUAUGAUGUUAAUUGAGGUUUGUCUCACUGGUGAUUUGUGCUGAUUCAAUUCCUGUUUCUUUUUUUUUUUCUUAAGGGGUCAGUUUUAGAAUUGGGAGAUAGGUGUAUAACAUAUGACUAUACAGCGCAGGUUGGUUUUUUAACAUAGAAAUAUCUGCCUUUAAAUGAGAACUGAAAACGGAGCUUCUUGGAGGCCACCUGCUGGUGGCAGUGAUCUGACCGCUGUUUAAGCUUUCUUUGAACUCCUUUUUUUAAAACAGCCUCCAUAAUCAAUGGUGUACGAUCUACUCUCGUGGUAAAACUUACUCAGUGAAGAGUGUGUUUUAUUUUCUGAGGAGCUGAACUGUUCCAACCUGAGUAUUCUGAAUAAGGACAGUGGUCGAGCAUGAGUGAUGCCAUCUGGGCUUAGAAAUAAGUGGGCCUAAAAUCUGAUUGUUUUCAUACAUUGUUCAGAUAUUGACGCAAAUAGCAAUUUAUUUUGUAAAAAAUGAUUGGUAUCCGGAACUUGCAACAGCUGUGUGUGGCUUGAAGGGAGAUGAAGUGGUGAAGGCCUGGUUUCCACCGAAGCUCUCACAGCCCAGCCUUUCACUGUGUGGCCGGGGGAAGGGUGCUCCGGGUGGGGGACGGGAAUGGUGGGACUGGGGAUGCCACGGGACAAGGCUGCUGGCCUGGAAGGUAGUCACGUGGAGAACCGCAGGAGAUGAGAUUGGAAAGUAGUAAUAAGCCAUGUGGAUAAGAACAGAGGAGCGGGUUUUAAGGGGGACGUCCUGAAAUGCUGCUCAUGUCGUUUCAGUUCCAUAGACCACAGGAAAUGCAGGUGAGAGGGCAGCCCGGUGGGAAGGAAGGAAGAGGGUGGUGGUGAGCCAGGUGAGUGUGGAGCCGCCCAGGGCACCGUGCUGUGCGAUAGCUCAGGCAUCGGGUGCUUCUGCCAAACCCUUCAGCAGCUGGUUUGGGGCCAAACGUCCUUCCUGUGUGAGAGAAGGCAGAGCCUAGGCAGCAUUCCAAACCCCAUCCAGAUGGGAGGCUGAGUGCAGAGCAAACGGAGCCCAGCACUCCAGAGCCGUGUCCCUUCACUGCCAUGAUCACAUCACAAACAGCGAGGCUUGGAGAGGACUUAAGAGCUCCUUCAAUGCCAUCUUCCAUCCACUGCGUGAGCCAGAAUAGAAAAAAAGGAAUAAGAAGAGGUCGGUUAAGCUCUCUAUUAAGUUGAGAAAAUGGGAACUUCAGGUGAUCAUGUGAGAUAUUCAAGUUAAAAAAAUUAUUUAAAAAGCACAUUCUUAUUAUUAAAAUUUUAGAAAGUACAGAGAAGG